UACGGAGGGGGCUAGCGUUGUUCGGAAUCACUGGGCGUAAAGCGCACGUAGGCCGACGGUUAAGUCGGGGGUGAAAGCCUGGAGCUCAACUCCAGAACUGCCUCCGAUACUGGUCGUCUUGAGUCCGAGAGAGGUGAGUGGAAUUCCCAGUGUAGAGGUGAAAUUCGUAGAUAUUGGGAAGAACACCAGUGGCGAAGGCGGCUCACUGGCUCGGUGCUGACGCUGAGGUGCGAAAGCGUGGGGAGCAAACAGG
Molecule: ribosomal RNA, 253 nt
Filed under: uncultured bacterium
Lineage: Bacteria
Description: partial 16S ribosomal RNA
Rfam family: Bacterial small subunit ribosomal RNA
Source: RNAcentral